GACGAACGCUGGCGGCGUGCUUAACACAUGCAAGUCGAACGGAAAGGCCCUGCUUGCAGGGUGCUCGAGUGGCGAACGGGUGAGUAACACGUGGGUGAUCUGCCCCUUACUUUGGGAUAAGCCUGGGAAACUGGGUCUAAUACUGGAUAGGACCAUGCUGUAGGUGGUGUGGUGGAAAGAUUAGUUUCGGUAAGGGAUGAGCUCGCGGCCUAUCAGCUUGUUGGUGGGGUAAUGGCCUACCAAGGCGUCGACGGGUAGCCGGCCUGAGAGGGUGGACGGCCACAUUGGGACUGAGAUACGGCCCAGACUCCUACGGGAGGCAGCAGUGGGGAAUAUUGCACAAUGGGCGCAAGCCUGAUGCAGCGACGCCGCGUGGGGGAUGACGGCCUUCAGGUUGUAAACUCCUUUCAGCCAUGACGAAGCCCUUGUGGUGACGGUAGUGGUAGAAGAAGCACCGGCUAACUACGUG
RNAcentral lists this ribosomal RNA (469 nucleotides) under uncultured bacterium. RNAcentral describes it as "partial 16S ribosomal RNA". It matches the Rfam family "Bacterial small subunit ribosomal RNA", at positions 28 to 507 of the family's 1533-position model. The record is from RNAcentral.